AGCGAUUUUCGCAUCGGGCGAACCCUCGACGAGCCACGCCGCGUGAGUGAUGAAGGCUUCGGGUGAAAGCUCUUUCGGCGGGACGAAAAAGACCGUGCAAUAGAACAAGUCGGGCUGGUCCAUUCCAGCAGCCCCGGUAUUAUCCGUGGCCGGGGGCAUAAGAUAAAA
Molecule: ribosomal RNA, 168 nt
Filed under: uncultured bacterium
Lineage: Bacteria
Description: partial 16S ribosomal RNA
Source: RNAcentral